This 398-nucleotide unclassified non-coding RNA is filed under the name uncultured fungus. RNAcentral describes it as "partial contains small subunit ribosomal RNA, internal transcribed spacer 1, and 5.8S ribosomal RNA". The stretch from base 1 to 73 matches the Rfam family "Eukaryotic small subunit ribosomal RNA", at positions 1759 to 1831 of the family's 1831-position model. The record is from RNAcentral. Lineage: Eukaryota; Fungi.
UCAAACUUGGUCAUUUAGAGGAAGUAAAAGUCGUAACAAGGUUUCCGUAGGUGAACCUGCGGAAGGAUCAUUAUUGAAUAAACAUGGUUAGUUGUCGCUGGCUCCUCGGAGCAUGUGCACGCUUGCCGUCUUUAUCUAUCCACCUGUGCACCCUCUGUAGUCUUUGGGGAUGAAUGCAGUUGCACCCUCGACAGGUCUUUACUGACUUUCGGAUGUGAGGAAUUGCCUUGUGAAAGCAUGGCUCUCCUCAAAAGCAUUGUGAAUCACCUCAUGGACUAUGUUUUUCAUACACUUCGUAGCAUGAUGCAGAAUGUAUUCGAUGGGCCUUUGUGCCUAUAAUUAUCAAUACAACUUUCAGCAACGGAUCUCUUGGCUCUCGCAUCGAUGAAGAACGCAGC